AACUAGAAGAGCAUCUAAGGCCAUACCACCCUGAACACGCCCGAUCUUGUCUCUUCUUGGAAGCUAAGCAGGGUCGGGCCAUGGUUAGUACAUGGAUGGGAGACCAACAGGGAAUACCAGGUGCUUU
RNAcentral lists this ribosomal RNA (127 nucleotides) under Mus pahari (shrew mouse). Lineage: Eukaryota; Metazoa; Chordata; Mammalia; Rodentia; Muridae. The record is from RNAcentral.